This 538-nucleotide ribosomal RNA is filed under the name uncultured bacterium. RNAcentral's name for it is "bacterial SSU rRNA". It matches the Rfam family "Bacterial small subunit ribosomal RNA", at positions 338 to 873 of the family's 1533-position model. The record is from RNAcentral.
CCUACGGGGAGGCAGCAGUGGGGAAUAUUGCACAAUGGGCGGAAGCCUGAUGCAGCGACGCCGCGUGAGGGAUGACGGCCUUCGGGUUGUAAACCUCUUUCAGUAGGGAAGAAGCGUAAGUGACGGUACCUGCAGAAGAAGCGCCGGCUAACUACGUGCCAGCAGCCGCGGUAAUACGUAGGGCGCAAGCGUUAUCCGGAAUUAUUGGGCGUAAAGAGCUCGUAGGCGGUUUGUCGCGUCUGCCGUGAAAGUCCGGGGCUCAACUCCGGAUCUGCGGUGGGUACGGGCAGACUAGAGUGAUGUAGGGGAGACUGGAAUUCCUGGUGUAGCGGUGAAAUGCGCAGAUAUCAGGAGGAACACCGAUGGCGAAGGCAGGUCUCUGGGCAUUAACUGACGCUGAGGAGCGAAAGCAUGGGGAGCGAACAGGAUUAGAUACCCUGGUAGUCCAUGCCGUAAACGUUGGGCACUAGGUGUGGGGGACAUUCCACGUUUUCCGCGCCGUAGCUAACGCAUAAGUNCCCCGCGNGGNGACGCGCAG